Long non-coding RNA from Oncorhynchus keta (chum salmon), 8082 nucleotides. RefSeq lists it as uncharacterized. The record is from RefSeq and is a predicted model, not a curated record. NCBI's taxonomy places the organism in Eukaryota, Metazoa, Chordata, Actinopteri, Salmoniformes, Salmonidae. The transcript is spliced from 4 exons.
GUGCAGGCAAGGCUAACCAUAUGAUAAUUUCUUACCAAACUGGACACUAUAUGGGCUAAAAUGGCAUUGGCCUAGACAUCCCCGUAUUAAGUGUUUCAUUCUAUUGUAUUCAGACUCACUGCAUAGAUUAUAUUGUUUUAGCCAUAAUCUGUAGCCAAUGUGAAAACGCUUGGAUGGCGCCUACAGGCAAGUUUCUGGUUACCGAGGGAACGCAGAUGGUAGAGGAGACUGACGGGCAUUCAUUCUGUCAUCAGUUUGCAUUACAAUAGAACGUACUCGUAGAUCUGUGGCAGCUGGAGUCCGUAGCCUACAAGCGCUCGCAUACAAAAUACAGACAUCUGCGGGUUAAUUCAUCGUGCCAUCCAAACACUCCUUUGUCCAGGCUUCAGUCUUGUUAUUUACUUUCCAUUAUUAACCGCCCAUCAGAGGCAGCUGCUUCGCUCUCACCCGACCUCUCUGCUCAAGGCAAACUGACGCACUCCACGGAGGAUUAGUCGGACACAGUUGGAGCCCUUUAUCGCGCCAUCCUUGCUGACACAGAUGGUGCGAGACAGGUGCAUUUUGGACCGAUGGUCAAACUUACAUCAAUGCAGAAGUGGCCAAACCCACAGCCCAGCUGGCAGGACGCACGUCCCCAUGACAACUGAGAUUCCCUGGGGUCCCUGAUGGACUGAUGAAUACAGGAGUAGGGAGACGGGUAUGCGUCCAGUAUAUCCACACAUAUUGAAGGGAUUCUUCUAAAGACAGAGGAUUAACCACUACUAUAAUGAUGUCUUGUAUGCUCCGUUCCUCCAUGAAAUUUGUAUUGACUAUUGUUUUUAUUAGGGGAGCUACCGAAGCAAGAUAUUCAUUUCAAUUAGGUCAGUGUAAGGUAAAACAUUUCAAAUAAGAUUUAAAAAAGGUUAAUCAGGUCAGUUAGUAACUGUUCCUAAUCACCUAUGAUUCUGGGAAUUUUAUUAACCCUUCCCUCCUGCAUCCCAUGGUAUCUUUAGGCAGUAGUCAAGUCCAAUGGUCCAGCCUCUCUUUGGUAGGGUUUUGGGGGCAGGUGUUCCAGGGGGUUGCGUUCCACUUUCUGCUGCUUGCUGCUCUGUGUUUCUCUCCAGAUAUGCUGAGGAGGAUACUGAGAUGGUGCCAGCCCUCAUAGUCCAUGUAGACGAGUCAACAACAUGACCAGACUGAUAGAGCUGUCUACAAAGCUGUUUUCUAAACAGUUGUCAACGCGGUUCAUCCUUACCGAAUUGGAACUGGGACGGGAACUGGGACCUAUGGCUUUCACCCACUGACGAAUGAACAUUACUACAAGGCUACUGAUGGAGCACACUUCUUUUGCUAUCGAUUUGUGUUAGAAGGAGACCUUGCAGUGAUUAUUAUUGUUAUUAUUUGGAAGUACCAUUGGCACGUUGCUGGCCCCUUUAAUUGUAGUCUAUUUUAUGCCGACGUCAUUCAGGACCACAUUUCAUGCCAUAAGAGAGACCCAUAAAGGGUGGGGUUUUAGUGUUGUCUGAUGCUUUGGCGCUUUCAUUUCCUUAAAUAUUGUUUACCUGAGGGAGCUCUCUCCCCUCCUCUGUAAAAUAGUACUUUAUCAUCCCCUUCCAGACUGUUCAGCUGAUCAAAGCAGUGAGAGACUAACACCUUUCUCUGAUGCCUGCUUCUCCUCAUGCUGUCAGCACCUUUCUCUUCUCUGUAACCUUGGCAACACUUUUAACACCUUACUCACUUCCUUCUACCUCUGAUGUCUAACAUGACUAACAAGGUUGAGUCUGCUAAGAUGGCCUUCCUGCUCAUUUAAUUGAUGUGCUCCUAAAGGCGUCAGCAUGCUUCAGUUUGGCUGACGCCUUCCUGAAGUUGGCUAGGCAAACCGAACAAGUGGGCUUGCAUCCUCCCUUAAACGGUCUUCACUUGGAAAACAAUAAAAAAGCGACAAUAGUACCGAUUGUCCAUUUUGACAUGCCGUAGCCAGUAUAAACUUACUCAAAAUAUUGAGUGAAUAUUGAAUGAAUCUACGAUAACUCAAGAAAUCCGUCAUACAAUUUGACGUUUUUGCAGAGAUCUUAGUCGUGCAAUUUUGCAUCUAAUUGAGAUGUCUGGUGCAGUAUUUCUCAAUGAAAACAUUUGCAUGAAAACACGUCGUCUCUCGUUGAAUUACAACAAAGACUUUAUUAAAGAAUCCCUACUGUUGACCAAUCACCAACGAAGGAGCGUAGAUUUCGGCUACCGACUUCGGCUUGCCUCUAGAAAAAAUGUUGAGCUCGAACAGCCGAAAAAAAACAUGACUAAAGUCCAGAACUAACAAAAACAUCACAAAAUGAUGUCAUAAUAUAUGCACAAAUUCUAUUGAACUGUUUUGGCUGGGAAGCAUGCGGACGUCUUAACCCAGCUGACAUACCCAUACCACUCCAGCAGCUAAUGCUUGUUAUCGUUAGUCUACUCUAACGUUACAGGAGUGUUAUGAUGAUGUUACGACUUUAAUAGGGUUGUGUCAGUGUUUGUAGCGGUGUUUGGAUGGUCUCCCGAGGCCUGGUUUGUCUUGUGAUUGCUGCAUGUUCUGCAACUCCCAAUAACCUCAGCUAGAGUCAUAUAGAACUAACCAACACCAGAGUAAUCCUGGUUUGCUAACCUGGACUAACAAUCUAACAGUCACUAAUCAAGCUAAUCAACCAAACUAAACCCCAAGCCCCGUUGAGGGGAGGACGGCUCAUUUGAAUGGCCGGAACGGAGCAUAUGGAAUGGUAUCAAACACAUGGAAACCAUAUAUUUGAUGUAUUUGAUACUAGUCUAUUCAUUCUGCUCCAGCCAUGAGCCCUUCCUCCCAAAUUAAGGUGCCAACAAAGUCCUGUGGUGUAGGUGUACAUUUUGAGUGUAAGAGUGUGGCUCUUAGUGUAAUUAAUUUCCUUACCCAUUGAAACCAAACCCUCAGCUCUCUUGGCAUUCCUUAAUAAAUACACUAACAAAUAGCCUCUAAUACCUAACAGUACUAAUGUCUGGUAACAGACAUUUUGUUACUUACACUAACCUGUACUAUACUAACUUGUACCUCUCCCAUUUUCCUGAAACCUUUCUUCCACCAGACACAGAUCACCCAAAUUCAUAUACACUAACUAUGUAUUUAUCUAUCUGUCAUAACCUUAAGCUCAGUAAGUUGCUUGUUGAGAGUUUUUACUUUUGGCCCCUAAAGCACAACGGUGAGAAUGAUUCCAGGAUCUGGGAUGGGAAGCUGGAUUAACCAAUAGAUUGAAAGACAAAGCGCACCUACCGACCUGUAGCUCACUGGGUUGACCACACACUUCUGCUCAGGGGGAUGCCUAAAAACAUGUUACGAAUGUUUCAGUAACUAUACUAAAGAUGAUUAUUUUUUUAAGUUGUCCAUCUUAAUAGUUUAACAAAUAAUGGCUGACAAAUGUUUGUCCCCCUGUCCAUUGUGUGGCCAACCAGUGUUUGGUUUGUAGCCUGCAUAGACACAUGUGUAUUCUCUUAUUAGAUAAACCAAAGCAAAUAGCAACCCUUACCUGCUUUACUACUAACUGAGUGGUGACUGGUAUAUGAACAACAACCCUGGAUAAGGCCUAACACUUUGGCUAUUGAUUUCUUGCUCUUACAGUAUGUUAGUAUCUUCUCUCAGACUAACACGUGGUGCUUCUUUCAAUGAAGUCUAACCAUACUGUGACCAACUUAUCACCCAUCACUUCUCCCUGCCCCUUGGUGAGAUCAAACAGCAUCUAGUAGGCCAUGCAGUAUCGUUUCUUUACUUCCUGAGUCGUCAUGAGGAUAGACAUCUCUGUGUCCUUGAUCGUGUGACACUUUACUUAACCUGCACUAGAGUGAGAAAGCACUAACUAUUGGGGCAUGAAACAGCUUCCCAGAAACUAACAAACUAACUAACCUACUAAUUAACUAAUUAUCUAACAAACUAACUGAAAUGAUUAAUUGUGUGCUGAGAGUUAUGAGGUUUGGAGGUUUAUGUUCAGCAAGCCAUCCCCCUCUCUGGUGUGUGUGGGUGUGUGGGUGUGUGUGGUUGUGUGUGGGUGUGUGUGUGUGUGUGUGUGGGUGUGUGUGUGUGUGGGGGUGUGUGUGUGUGCAUGUAAUGUAUGCUGCAACUAACUCUGACAGUCUCACGUCAGAAUUAGACGUUCAUCCAUGUUUCUCAAACAUCACAUUUCAAAUUUCUUCCAAACUUCCAAUUUCAGUGUUUAAGGCUAAGGUUAAGUAUUAACUACGAAUGGUUAAGGUUUGGAAUAGGCUUAAAACAAAAAUCUCAAAAACAACUUCAUAUUCAGUGAUUUGAACACGCAACUUUUGGGACACGAGGCAGAUGCCAUUUGCUAUCUGCCAUCCCCACCUAUAACCCCCUAGAAAAACUGAAACCUACUUGAAUCUACCAGCGCUCAUUGUUGCCCCUAGAGGCCAGUUUCCACAUCAUCUCCCGACGUCCUCAGACAUGGAAGGACGUUGAAUACUGACUUGUAUCAAGGGUGAUCUGGCUAGCAGACCUGUGGUUAUUAAUACUAACCUGUACUGUGGAUGAUGUUGGCUGGGCUUGCAAUUUCAAACACAUUAACAUGAACUACUCUUUGCUUUGUGCACAGAGUCUGAGACAGAAUCUUUUCCCAUUUUCCUGAAACCUUUCUUCCACCAGACACAGAUCACCCAAAUUCAUAUACACUAACUAUGUAUUUAUCUAUCUGUCAUAACCUUAAGCUCAGUAAGUUGCUUGUUGAGAGUUUUUACUUUUGGCCCCUAAAGCACAACGGUGAGAAUGAUUCCAGGAUCUGGGAUGGGAAGCUGGAUUAACCAAUAGAUUUAAAGACAAAGCGCACCUACCGACCUGUAGCUCACUGGGUUGACCACACACUUCUGCUCAGGGGGACGCCUAAAAACAUGUUACGAAUGUUUCAGUAACUAUACUAAAGAUGAUUAUUUUUUAAGUUGUCCAUCUUAAUAGUUUAACAAAUAAUGGCUGACAAAUGUUUGUCCCCCUGUCCAUUGUGUGGCCAACCAGUGCUUGGUUUGUAGCCUGCAUAGACACAUGUGUAUUCUCUUAUUAGAUAAACCAAAGCAAAUAGCAACCCUUACCUGCUUUACUACUAACUGAGUGGUGACUGGUACUAACAACCCUAGAUGAGGCCUCAGAAUUUGGCCAUUGAUUCUUUGCUCUUACGCAGGUUGACAUUUAUUGUCACGAGUCUUGUCCUGAAGGCAGAACUGACCGAUUUCCCCUUAGAUAGGCCAGCUGCAAAGUCAAAAUUGUCUAUAUUGUAAAAAUAAACAUUUUUUCUUUUUGCCCAUUAGCUCUAACAGUGUGGGUAAGGUUAGGUUUAACAUUAGGUUUAACAUCAGAUUUCAUGACUUUGUGGUUGUGCAACUUAGUGACCCCUCUGCAGAGUGAACUCCAGAACAACAUUCAUGACAAAAAACACUAACCUGAUGCUCUUACUAACAUACUGAAUCUUCUCUCAGACUAACAUGUGGUGCUUCUUUCAAUGCUGUCUAACCAUGCUGCGACCAACUUAUCACCCAUCACUUCUCCCUGCCCCUUGGUGAGAUCAAACAGCAUCUAGUAGGCCAUGCAGUAUCGUUUCUUUACUUCCUGAGUCGUCAUGAGGAUAGACAUCUCUGUGUCCUUGAUCGUGUGACACUUUACUUAACCUGCACUAGAGUGAGAAAGCACUAACUAUUGGGGCAUGAAACAGCUUCCCAGAAACUAACAAACUAACUAACCUACUAAUUUGACUAAUUUAUCUAACAAACUAACUGAAAUGACUAAUGUUGUGCUGAGAGUUAUCAGGUUUUGGUUCAGCAAGCCAUCCCCCCCUGUGUGUGUGUGUGUGUGUGUGUGUGUGUGUGUGUGUGUGUGUGUGUGUGUGUGUGUGUGUGUGUGUGUGUGUGUGUGUGUGUGUGUGUGUGUGUGUGUGUGUGUGUGUGUGUGUGUGCGUGCGUGCGUGCGUGUGUACAUUGAUUCUCAAACUGUGUGCAUGAUGCCGUCAUUGUUUUUGUCUGAAUGAGUGUUAAGGAUUCAGCAUGCUCCAGCUCGGCUGGCACCUAGCCAAAUUCGGCUAGGUGAACCGAAUGAGUGUGCUGCAUACUCCCUUAAAAGACCUUUGCUUGACAAUUUGAAAAAGCAGCAAUAUUACUGUUUGUCAAUUUGAGAUGCCAUAGCCAGUACACACUUCCUUAAAAUAGUCAUAAUUAAUCGAAGAUAAUUCAAGAAAUCUGUCAUUAAUUUAGACUUUUUUGCAGAGGAGAUCUUAGUCAUGCAAUAGUACAUCUAAGAUUUUUGGUGCAGUAUUUCUCAAUUAAUAAUGUGCAUGAAAACGAGUCGUCUAUCAUUAAAUGACAACAAAGACUUUAUUGAAGAAUCCCUAUGGUUGACCAAUCACCGAUGAAUGGGGGUUAUUUUAGUCUCAGAACUUCGAUUUGCCUCUAGAAUGUUUUGGAUGUGUCAGAACAACCGAAAAAAGCCCACCGAAGUCCAAAACGAACAAAAACGUCACAUAAUGUCUUCAUAAUAUAUGCACAAACUCUUCCGAACUGUGUUGACUGGGAAGCACGAGGACGCCUUAAGCGUGUAUGUUUUUCUAUCAGUUUUUUCUAUGGAGUAACGUUAUACUAUAGCAAUGUUGUCUUCAUCCACUAUUUACACAAAUGACUGAUGAUAAAAUUAUUAUAGAGGCGGUUUUGUUAUACUUCAGUGCGGCUUUUGACAUUAUCGAUCAUAGUCUGCUGCUGGAAAAACGUAUGUGUUAUGGCUUUACAUCCCCUGCUAUAUCGUGGAUAAAGAGUUACCUGUCUAACAGAACACAGAGGGUGUUUUAAUGGAAGCCUCUCCAACAUAAUCCAGGUAGAAUCAGGAAUUUCCCAGGGCAGCCCGUUACUUUUUUCAAUCUGUAGUAAUGACAUGCCACUGGCUCUACUCAAUUGCGGAUGACUCAACACUAUACCCAUCAACUACUACAGCGACUGAAAUGACCGCAACACUUAACAAAGAGCUGCGGUUAGUUUCAGAAUGGGUGGCAAAGGAAUAAGAUCGUCCUAAAUAUUUCUAAAACUAAAAGCAUUGUAUUUGGGACAAAUCAUUCACUAAACCCUAAACCUCAACUAAAUAUUUUAAUAAAUAAUGUGGAAAUUGAGCAAGUUGAGGUGACUAAACUGCUUUGAGUAACCCCGGAUUGUAAACUGUCAUGGUCAAAACAUAUUGAUAGAACAGAAGCUAAGACGGGGAAAUGUCUGUCCGUAACAAACACAGUACACAGUUUGGACACCCAUGCACAAGACAUGAGGUCUCUUCAGAGUCCCCAAGUCCAGAACAGACUAUGGGAGGUGCACAUUACUACAUAGAGCCAUGACUACAUGGAACUCAACAUCAACAUCAAGUAACUGAUGCAAGUAGUAAAAUUUGAUUUAAAAAACAGAUAAAAUACACCUUAUGGAACAGCAGGGACUAUGAAGCAACACAAACAUAGGCACAUACACUUAACAUAGGCACACACACAUUUACACACACACAAUAACAUACGCACAAUACACACACAUAAACAGGGAUUUUGUAUUGUAGAUAUUUGGUAGUGGAGUAAGAGCCUGACAAGAGCGGCACACAGUAUGUUGAGAAUUUUGUUGUGAAUGUAUUGUAAUGUUUUUAAAAUUGUACAACUGCAUUCAUUUUGCUGUUUGGCAGCAGCUAAUGGGGAUUAAUAGUAAAAGCAAAUGCACAUUUAGAACUGAUUUAGCAAAAACUAAGACCACAUUUAUUAUACAGACUCAACUGUCAAAGGUGGGUUCUAUUCUUGGAUAAAGACAAGCUUCUUACGGCUUGACAAUCAAAUUGUGUGAUCAAUGGAUGAAGCAGUUUUGCUUUGGAGGACCUAAUGUCUUUCAGAGUAGCUUCAAUCAAAAGCGUCACUAGUCAACAGUGUCUAAGUGGUUUUGAUCCUUGUCCUUUGUGUGGUGUCACUACAGAAUUAUUCACAAAAUAUGGCUGGGAUGUUGAAAAACUGAUAAUAGCCUUACUAUCUUUUAUUUCAUGUGCUGUAUUGAUAAAACAUAUUUACCAUGCCCUUGUCUCUGUUGAAUAAACUAUUUUAAAAAGUA